This is a long non-coding RNA of Callithrix jacchus (white-tufted-ear marmoset), 404 nucleotides long. RefSeq lists it as uncharacterized. NCBI's taxonomy places the organism in Eukaryota, Metazoa, Chordata, Mammalia, Primates, Cebidae. The record is from RefSeq and is a predicted model, not a curated record.
UCUAAAGACAUGGUCACAGCUGCCUGAAGCAUGUCUUCUUCACUCAUGGCAUCACCUGUCGGGAAACAAAACACACAUUUCCUUAACAUUUCCAGAAAGUCAUCAAAGGGCACAGUGGCUGGCUAAUGCCUGUAAUCACAGCACUUCGAGAGGCUGAGGUGGGAGAAUCACGAGUCCAGGAGUUUGAGACAAGCAUGGGCGACACAGCGAGACCCUCAUCUCCACACACACACACAAAUUAGCUGGCCAUGGCGAUAUGCACCAGAAGUCCCAGUGAGGCUGAGGCAGGAGGAUCGCUUGAGCCUAGGAGGUCAAGGCUGCAGCGAGCCAGGAUCUCUCCACUGCACACCUGCCUGGGUGACAGAAUGAAAUCCCAUCGCUAAAAUAAAAAAUUUUUAAAUAGA